GAUCAUGGCUCAGGAUGAACGCUGGCGGCGUGCCUAAUACAUGCAAGUCGAACGAGGUGCUUGAGUAGCAAUACAAGAGUAUCUUAGUGGCGAACGGGUGAGUAACGCGUGGGUGACCUGCCCCGAAGUGUGGGAUAACAGUCCGAAAGGAUUGCUAAUACCUCAUGUGGUUAUCGGAUUUAGAAACUGAUAACUAAAGCAGCAAUGCGCUUUGGGAGGGACCUGCGUCCCAUCAGCUAGUUGGUGAGGUAAUGGCUCACCAAGGCUACGACGGGUAGGGGACCUGAGAGGGUGGCCCCCACAAUGGAACUGAAACACGGUCCAUACACCUACGGGUGGCAGCAGUAGGGAAUAUUGCACAAUGGGCGAAAGCCUGAUGCAGCAACGCCGCGUGUGCGAUGAAGGCCUUCGGGUCGUAAAGCACUUUUCUGAGAGAUGAGAAAGGACAGUAUCUCAGGAAUAAGUCUCGGCUAACUACGUG
RNAcentral lists this ribosomal RNA (481 nucleotides) under uncultured bacterium. RNAcentral describes it as "bacterial SSU rRNA". It matches the Rfam family "Bacterial small subunit ribosomal RNA", at positions 15 to 507 of the family's 1533-position model. The record is from RNAcentral.